RNAcentral lists this ribosomal RNA (528 nucleotides) under Bacillus pumilus. Its description in RNAcentral is "bacterial SSU rRNA". It matches the Rfam family "Bacterial small subunit ribosomal RNA", at positions 55 to 564 of the family's 1533-position model. Lineage: Bacteria; Bacillati; Bacillota; Bacilli; Caryophanales; Bacillaceae. The record is from RNAcentral.
AUGCAAGUCGAGCGGACAGAAGGGAGCUUGCUCCCGGAUGUUAGCGGCGGACGGGUGAGUAACACGUGGGUAACCUGCCUGUAAGACUGGGAUAACUCCGGGAAACCGGAGCUAAUACCGGAUAGUUCCUUGAACCGCAUGGUUCAAGGAUGAAAGACGGUUUCGGCUGUCACUUACAGAUGGACCCGCGGCGCAUUAGCUAGUUGGUGGGGUAAUGGCUCACCAAGGCGACGAUGCGUAGCCGACCUGAGAGGGUGAUCGGCCACACUGGGACUGAGACACGGCCCAGACUCCUACGGGAGGCAGCAGUAGGGAAUCUUCCGCAAUGGACGAAAGUCUGACGAACCAACGCCGCGUGAGUGAUGAAGGUUUUCGAAUCCUAAACUUCUGUUGUUAGGAAAAAACAAAGGCAAAAGUACCUGUUCGCACUUUACCGCAACGUAACCAAAAAUCCCCGGUUACUUAGUGGCCACCGCCCCCGUAAAUACGAAUUUGGCAGGUGUUUUUCCAAAAAUAAUUGGGUGUCAA